UACGUAGGGUGCGAGCGUUAAUCGGAAUUACUGGGCGUAAAGCGUGCGCAGGCGGCUGUGCAAGACAGGUGUGAAAUCCCCGGGCUCAACCUGGGGACUGCAUUUGUGACUGUACGGCUGGAGUGCGGCAGAGGGGGAUGGAAUUCCGCGUGUAGCAGUGAAAUGCGUAGAUAUGCGGAGGAACACCGAUGGCGAAGGCAAUCCCCUGGGCCUGCACUGACGCUCAUGCACGAGAGCGUGGGGAGCAAACAGG
RNAcentral lists this unclassified non-coding RNA (253 nucleotides) under uncultured Gammaproteobacteria bacterium. RNAcentral's name for it is "contains 16S-23S intergenic spacer region". It matches the Rfam family "Bacterial small subunit ribosomal RNA", at positions 524 to 776 of the family's 1533-position model. The record is from RNAcentral. Lineage: Bacteria; Pseudomonadati; Pseudomonadota; Gammaproteobacteria.